UUAUUCUUGAGUUCGGAUCAUCGGUCGCACUUUCCUGCGGCCACUCCAGCACAUCCAAAUCGAUGUCGUUUUACUUAAUUUUUUUUUUUCCUUCAAAUUUUGAGUUUCCUCCCCUUUUUUCAGUUCAUCACUUUCAUCUGUGUUUAGCCCUAACACAGAAACGAACUGAGAGAUGCGAGACAAAGAGAGAGAGAGCGGCAGAGAGACAAACUGAGAGAGACGGAGGAACGCAACGGCGGCAAGAUGAGAUUGCGACCAUGACGAGGUCCAUUUCAUCAUCAUUGUCAUUUUUUGCUGUUAUGUACAAGUGAAUGAACAUAUAUAUAUAUAUAUAUACACACAUACAUAUCUGUGAGUGCGAAUGUGGAAAAAUGAAGGAUUGAAGGACUGACCAUUCGCGGCAAAAUUUCAUGGUACUCAUUUUGAAAGUCUGAGAUUGAGAGAAAGAUAUGGAGACUUGGGUUCUUUUCUCUACCUUUGUUCAAACCUCACUUGCUUUGCUUGUGCUUUUCCUUCUCUAGCUCUAAUGGUGGUUCUUCUAGAUGGGGUUAUUAAUCUAAACACUUGCGAUAUAACUGGAGGUUUGGAGACAAGUCAACAAUUUAGGUGGGGGUUUGGGCAGAUGCUAUCAACUUGUGACCAGCAAGAAGAAAAUGAUGUUUGAUGCUUUAAAUUAUUAGAUUGGCUACUAAUUGAUGGAUGGGAAUUCAAUCGAGCUAAUUAGUUUUUGGUUUGUUAGAAUUAAUGUUUUGGUGGUGUUGUUUAGUCUUUUUUUUUGUUGUGUAUGGUAAUUGAUAUGUUGCCUUCUAGCCAACUGGUCCUUUCCUCCAAUGAAAUUUUUAAUUGGGUGAUGUUUUUA
This is a long non-coding RNA of Camellia sinensis, 859 nucleotides long. RefSeq lists it as uncharacterized. The record is from RefSeq and is a predicted model, not a curated record. Lineage: Eukaryota; Viridiplantae; Streptophyta; Magnoliopsida; Ericales; Theaceae.